AAAUUGUUUUUACACUUUGUGCGUGUUGUGGAAGAGCUUUGAGAAUGUGCUUCUGUGGGAGCUGUUGUCAGCAGAUUGUUGAUACAGCAUGUAAGUGUUGCAAACUACAUCUUUUUAUGUCUGGUGCACAACAGGUGUCAAAGGGAGGUAAGUUUUUCAUUUUUCCUUUCUCUUUACACACACACGCCCUAAUCUCCGUGAACCUUUGUUCUCCUUUUGCUCAGUCACUUCCUAACAUCAACUUGUCCUUCAGUUUGAAUUGUGUUACAUUAAAGUCUAACUCCAGUGACACCUGCUGUCUCACUGCUCUCUGUGUUUUAUUGAAUCUGCAGAAAAAGAUGAUGAUUACAUUGUGCUGUGCCAUCAUUGGAAUCGUUGGGUUCUCCUAUCUCUACAGCUUCUUCUCGUAAAAAGGUUUCACACAGUGUUUUUAGGGACAAGAGUGUCAAGAACAAUUUCCUGAGGUGCUCCCCUAUUUUUACCCUGACCAUUAUUUUAAUCUGUUUCAAAAUCUAAUAUAUACAUAUACAUGUGUGUGUGUAUAUAUAUAUAUAUGUAAAGAAAAAAAUUGAACCAUAGCAGCCCUGACCACACUUACCUUUCCACUGAUAAAUUUAAAUUAUUUCUCGCUGUAUGAAGUGUUUUAAAAACGUGUUAUAAAUGUGUAGAUUUUUCUGCCUGUUCAUAACUCAACAUGUGACUUAUCGUCAGUUUGGACCAUUCUGGUUGACUGCCGCCUCCCUGUGGUACAAAGAAAGCACAUUCAUAUUUAUUAUAAGGAAAUUAGUACAACGGAUUCAUUUAAAGUUAAUAAGAACGAAUUAUGUUUUUUCCCCUAUUGCAGUCUUUGGCUUAAACACAUAUUAAGCUCUGGUAAAAAAAAAAAAACAACAAAAAAACAACAACAACAAAAAAACCCAAUGAAGUAGUAUUUUCUGACUUAUUUGUUGUCAUAAUUUGAAUAAAUCGUGUGUGAUUUUGUUGUGUGUGAACUGUCUGUAUGCGUCUGUGCUGCUGACAUGCUUGUGCUGAUGGUCUUUUCUGUAACAGCGGCUGCCACUCGCUCACUGGCUGUGUCUCAACCCAGUAAAGCCUGUUAUGUAAUAAAAGAUUUCUGUGCGUUGUA
Molecule: non-coding RNA, 1126 nt
Organism: Plectropomus leopardus (leopard coralgrouper)
Lineage: Eukaryota; Metazoa; Chordata; Actinopteri; Perciformes; Serranidae
Source: RefSeq, a predicted model, not a curated record